AGAGUUUGAUCAUGGCUCAGAUUGAACGCUGGCGGCAGGCCUAACACAUGCAAGUCGAGCGGUAGAGAGAGGCUUGCUUCUCUUGAGAGCGGCGGACGGGUGAGUAAUGCCUAGGAAUCUGCCUGGUAGUGGGGGAUAACGUUCGGAAACGGACGCUAAUACCGCAUACGUCCUACGGGAGAAAGCAGGGGACCUUCGGGCCUUGCGCUAUCAGAUGAGCCUAGGUCGGAUUAGCUAGUUGGUGGGGUAAUGGCUCACCAAGGCGACGAUCCGUAACUGGUCUGAGAGGAUGAUCAGUCACACUGGAACUGAGACACGGUCCAGACUCCUACGGGAGGCAGCAGUGGGGAAUAUUGGACAAUGGGCGAAAGCCUGAUCCAGCCAUGCCGCGUGUGUGAAGAAGGUCUUCGGAUUGUAAAGCACUUUAAG
Molecule: ribosomal RNA, 429 nt
Filed under: uncultured bacterium
Lineage: Bacteria
Description: bacterial SSU rRNA
Rfam family: Bacterial small subunit ribosomal RNA
Source: RNAcentral